ACAGAGGUGGCGAGCGUUACUCGGAUUUAUUGGGUGUAAAGGGCAAGUAGGCGUCUUAACAAGUUGGAGGUGAAAUCCUGCAGCUCAACUGCAGAACUGCUCCCAAAACUGUUAGGAUUGAGACUGGAAGAGGAAAACGGAAUUCUCGGUGUAAGGUUGAAAUCUAUAGAUAUGGAGUAGAAUACCAGUGGCGAAGGCUGCUUUCUGGUCCAGUACUGGCGCUGAAUUGCGAAAGCUAGUGGAGCAAACAG
This 251-nucleotide ribosomal RNA is filed under the name uncultured prokaryote. RNAcentral describes it as "partial 16S rRNA". It matches the Rfam family "Bacterial small subunit ribosomal RNA", at positions 525 to 775 of the family's 1533-position model. The record is from RNAcentral.